AACUUUCAACAACGGAUCUCUUGGCUCUCGCAUCGAUGAAGAACGCAGCGAAAUGCGAUAAGUAAUGUGAAUUGCAGAUCUUCAGUGAAUCAUCGAAUCUUUGAACGCACCUUGCGCCCCUUGGUAUUCCGAGGGGCGUGCCUGUUUGAGUGUCAUUA
RNAcentral lists this ribosomal RNA (158 nucleotides) under uncultured fungus. Its description in RNAcentral is "5.8S ribosomal RNA". It matches the Rfam family "5.8S ribosomal RNA". Rfam says of the family: 5.8S ribosomal RNA (5.8S rRNA) is a component of the large subunit of the eukaryotic ribosome. It is transcribed by RNA polymerase I as part of the 45S precursor that also contains 18S and 28S rRNA. Lineage: Eukaryota; Fungi. The record is from RNAcentral.